This 1626-nucleotide long non-coding RNA is filed under the name Citrus x clementina. RNAcentral describes it as "Citrus clementina (C. clementina) long non-coding RNA (CCLE_LNC005844)". The record is from RNAcentral. Lineage: Eukaryota; Viridiplantae; Streptophyta; Magnoliopsida; Sapindales; Rutaceae.
CGUGUGCCAAAAAUAGGCCGCGGACAAAGCCGCGCCCAAAAAUAACCGCCCGAAGGCCGGGGCGCCAAGUUCGUCCAGCGGAAAAAGGCCACAAAAACGGGUGGGCUAUAGCCUUGGGGGGUGGGGCUGGCCAACUUCGUCCGCCGGACUCGGAAUGCCACGAGACUUUGCGAGGGGCCUCCGUGAGCAGAAAAUAGGCUUCGGGCGAAGCUGCGCCCCAAAGUAACUGCCCGAAGGCCGGGGCGCCAAGUUCGUCCAGCGGAAAAAGGCCACAAAAACGGGUGGGCUAUAGCCUUGGGGGGUGGGGCUGGCCAACUUUGUCCGCCGGGCUCGGAAUGCUGCGAGACUUCUCGAGCGGCCUCCGUGUGCCAAAAAUAGGCCGCGGGCAGAGCCGCGCCAAAACAUAACCGCCCGAAGGCCGGGCCGCCAAGUUCGCCCAGGUGAAAAAGGCCACAAAAACGGGUGUGCUAUAGCCUUGGGGGGUGGGGCUGGCCAACUUCGUCCGCCGGACUCGGAAUGCCGCGAGACUUUUCCAGGGGCCUCCGUGUGCGAAAAAUAGGCCGCGGGCAAAGCCGCGCCCAAAAAUACAUGCCCGAAGGCCGGGGUGCCAAGUUCGUAAAGCGGAAAAAGGCCACAAAAACGGGUGGGCUAUAGCCUUGGGGGGUGGGGCUGGCCAACUUCGUCCGCCGGACUCGGAAUGCCGCGAGUCUUUGCCAGGGGCCUCCGUGUGCCAAAAAUAGGCCGCGGGCAAAGCCGCGCCCAAAAAUACAUGCCCGAAGGCCGGGGUGCCAAGUUCGUCCAGCGGAAAAAGGCCACAAAAACGGGUGGGCUACAGCCUUGGGGGGUGGGGCUGGCCAACUUCGUCCGCCGGACUCGGAAUGCCGCGAGACUUUGCGAGGGGCCUCCGUGUGCCAAAAAUAGGCCGUGGGCAAAGCCGCGCUAAAAAAUAACCGACCGAAGGCCGGGGCGCCAAGUUUGUCCAGCGGAAAAAGGCCACAAAAACGGGUGGGCUAUAGCCUUGGGGGGUGGGGCUGGCCAACUUCGUCCGCCGGACUCGGAAUGCCGCGAGACUUAGCGAGGGGACUCCGUGUGCAGAAAAUAGGACACGGGCGAAGCCGCACACAAAAAUAACUGCCCGAAGGCCGUGGCGCCAAGUUCGUCCAGCGGAAAAAGGCCACAAAAACGGGUGGGCUAUAGCCUUGGGGGGUGGGGCUGGCCAACUUCGUCCGCCGGACUCGGAAUGCCGCGAGAUUUUGCAAGGGGCCUCCGUGUGCCAAAAAAAGGCCGCGGGCAAAGGCGCGCCCAAAAAUAACCGCCCGAACGCCGGGGCGCCAUGUUCGUCCAGCGGAAAAAGGCCACAAAAACGGGUGGGCUACAGCCUUGGGGGGUGGGGCUGGCCAACUUCGUCCGCCGGGCUCGGAAUGCCACGAGACUUUGCGAGCGGCCUCCGUGUGCCAAAAAUAGGCCGCGGGCAAAGCCGCGCCAAAACAUAACCGCCCGAAGGCCGGGCCGCCAAGUUCGCCCAGCUGAAAAAGGCCACAAAAACGGGUGAGCUAUAGCCUUGGGGGGUGGGGCUGGCGGACUUCGUCCGCCGGACUCGGAAUGCCGCGAGACUUUGCGAGGGGC